Molecule: ribosomal RNA, 440 nt
Filed under: uncultured bacterium
Lineage: Bacteria
Description: partial 16S ribosomal RNA
Rfam family: Bacterial small subunit ribosomal RNA
Source: RNAcentral
CCUACGGGAGGCAGCAGUGGGGAAUAUUGCACAAUGGGGGAAACCCUGAUCCAGCGAAGCCGCGUGAGUGAAGAAGUAUUUCGGUACGUAAAGCCCUAUCAGCAGGGAAGAAAAUGACGGUACCUGACUAAGAAGCCCCGGCAAACUACGUGCCAGCAGCCGCGGGAAUACGUCGGGGGCAAGCGUUAUCAGGAUUGACUGGGUGGAAAGGGGGCGUUGACGGGAGCGAAAGGCUGGAGUGAAAUCCUAUGGCUUAACCCUUGAACUGCUGUUGAAACUGGGCGGCUAGAGUGCAGGAGAGGUAAGCGGAAUUCGUAGUGUAGCGGUGAAAUGCGUAGAUAUUAGGCAGAACCCCGGUUGCGAAGGCGGCUUACUGGACUGUAACUGACGUUGAGGCACGAAAGUGUGGGGAGCAAACAGGAUUAGAUACCCCAGUAGUC